Long non-coding RNA from Bufo bufo (common toad), 153 nucleotides. RefSeq lists it as uncharacterized. The record is from RefSeq and is a predicted model, not a curated record. Lineage: Eukaryota; Metazoa; Chordata; Amphibia; Anura; Bufonidae. The transcript is spliced from 3 exons.
AAAAAAUAAAUAAAGGUAACACCUAAACAACACAAUGUAGCUCCAAGUCAAUCACACUUCUGUGAAAUCAACCUGUCCAGUUAUGAAGCAACACUGAUUGUGAAUCACUUUCUCCUGCUGUUGUGCAAACUAAUCAGACAAAUUGCAAGAAAA